RNAcentral lists this unclassified non-coding RNA (1565 nucleotides) under Hevea brasiliensis (rubber tree). The record is from RNAcentral. Lineage: Eukaryota; Viridiplantae; Streptophyta; Magnoliopsida; Malpighiales; Euphorbiaceae.
AACAAAUCGAUUUUUUUUUCAGACAUUUAAUUCGAUUGAGCUCUAUGAGCUAUGGUAUGGAUACCCAUGGGAAUCUUUGCCAUCUAAUUUUUUCUGUGGAGAAUCUUCUUCAACUUGGCAAGCCUUUCAGCCAAGUUAAAGGCAAUAAAUCCAUAGAUGUUUAAGUCACUGUGUCCAUUUCACUUGUGUAGCACCCUCUUCAGAAGUUAAAACAAUUUGAUCUUCAUGAUUCUCAGAACCUGAUAACACUCCCUGAUAUGCCUUCAGCUUUGAACUUAGAAAGGAUAAUUCUUCGUAAUUGUUACCAAUUCACUUCUUGAGAUUCCCUCAUCCAUUCAAUGCCUUCACAAGCUUGUUUAUCUUAGUCUAUCUAAUUGCAAAGAGCUGCAGUAUCAGCAUCAUUGCGACCAAGUAACCUUUUCGUAUUGAACAUUUCCCUGAUUAUUCUGAGAGCCUUUUCAACCUCAUAGCAUUCAUCCUCCUCAUCAGUGCUAUAACUAUUUGACAGGCCUUUUCUUGGGGUGGAAGAAGUCUUGCAUUGAUGCUUGUGACGAAUUUUGGUUCAGUAAUGGCUUCUUCAGCUGACGUUUUGAGGAUGCCGUCGGUUUUUCUUGCAUGAUUUUAGGUUGUGUGGUUCUUGUGAUUGCCUGUUCUGUUGCUUGUUUUGCUUUGCAGGUCCUUUAUUUCUUCUUCCAUUGGCAACAGGUGAGUGCAAGGCUUUUGGAUUUGGCCUCUGUUGUCACUGAUAGGUUUCCUUGCAGCAGUCUUGCUAAAGUAUACUUUAGAAUGCAAUUGGCAAGUUAAAGAAAUAGAUUUCCUCUCUUCAGGGCCACUAUUGAUCUCUUUCUUUAGAACUGGAACUGCUCCCUCAUCAGAUAGCAAGAAGAAGUAUCUCUUGAUUCCUUAAGUUUUUGGUUUUUGGCCACUUAAUCAGUCGUUAACUUAGACUUUUUCGAUCCUUUAACAAGAUGAGAGCACUUAAAUUCCAAGUUUUGCCCCAAAUUCUUGCAUUCUUGAACUACUCUUCUUGCAAUAACCGGCAGAGAAGGGCCAAAAAAGGACCCAUAAUUCUUAGCAAAAGGAAUACCUUCAUAAUUUUCUCCUGGGAUAUGGAUAAAGCAGACCCACUUGCCUCUUGCAUCUUCUUUCUGUAGAUUUCUUCAAGCCUCUGCCUUAAUCCCAAAUAUACAAGCUCGUCCGUAACUGCCAUGACUGACUGCAAUCUCAAACCAAGAAAACAAAAUUUAAGUGCCAGAGAGAGAAGAGAGAAGGCAAGAGCGAGCUAACCAAAGAACGUUUUCAUGGGGCAUUAAUUAUUUUUCCUUCUCCUUACUUGAUUUGGAUAACUAUUAAUAGUUUCCCAGUACUAAGUGGAUUUAUUGUGCAAUAACCAUCGCAGCAUGUCAAAUUUAAUAGGCGGAGGCGUAACCACGUCAUCACUAACCAUAAGAUGCCACACGUAAUUAGAAACCCUAGAUUGCCACGUCAUCAACCUAACGAUAAACUGAUAACGGGAAUGAGAGGCUACUUUCAUUUGCGUUUGCGAGGGAGAGAGAGAGAGAGAG